GGGAUAACAGUUAGAAAUGACUGCUAAUACCGCAUAAGACCACAGGACCGCAUGGUGCGGUGGUAAAAACUCCGGUGGUAUGAGAUGGACCCGCGUCUGAUUAGCUAGUUGGUAAGGUAACGGCUUACCAAGGCGACGAUCAGUAGCCGACCCGAGAGGGUGACCGGCCACAUUGGGACUGAGACACGGCCCAAACUCCUACGGGAGGCAGCAGUGUGGAAUAUUGCACAAUGGGGGAAACCCUGAUGCAGCGACGCCGCGUGAGCGAUGAAGUAUUUCGGUAUGUAAAGCUCUAUCAGCAGGGAAGAAAAUGACGGUACCUGACUAAGAAGCACCGGCUAAAUACGUGCCAGCAGCCGCGGUAAUACGUAUGGUGCAAGCGUUAUCCGGAUUUACUGGGUGUAAAGGGAGCGUAGACGGAGAGGCAAGUCUGAUGUGAAACCCGGGGCUCAACCCCGGGACUGCAUUGGAAACUGUUUUUCUAGAGUGUCGGAGAGGUAAGUGGAAUUCCUAGUGUAGCGGUGAAAUGCGUAGAUAUUAGGAGGAACACCAGUGGCGAAGGCGGCUUACUGGACGAUGACUGA
Molecule: ribosomal RNA, 584 nt
Filed under: uncultured Lachnospiraceae bacterium
Lineage: Bacteria; Bacillati; Bacillota; Clostridia; Lachnospirales; Lachnospiraceae
Description: bacterial SSU rRNA
Rfam family: Bacterial small subunit ribosomal RNA
Source: RNAcentral